UUAAAGACUUUGGAAAAGCGA
This 21-nucleotide non-coding RNA is filed under the name Caenorhabditis elegans. The record is from RNAcentral. Lineage: Eukaryota; Metazoa; Nematoda; Chromadorea; Rhabditida; Rhabditidae.